GUGUCAGCAGCCGCGGUAAUACGGAGGGUGCGAGCGUUAAUCGGAAUUACUGGGCGUAAAGCGCACGCAGGCGGUUUGUUAAGUCAGAUGUGAAAUCCCCGGGCUCAACCUGGGAACUGCAUCUGAUACUGGCAAGCUUGAGUCUCGUAGAGGGGGGUAGAAUUCCAGGUGUAGCGGUGAAAUGCGUAGAGAUCUGGAGGAAUACCGGUGGCGAAGGCGGCCCCCUGGACGAAGACUGGCGCUCAGGUGCGAAAGCGUGGGGAGCAAACAGGAUUAGAAACCCUCGUAGUCC
This 292-nucleotide ribosomal RNA is filed under the name uncultured prokaryote. RNAcentral describes it as "partial 16S ribosomal RNA". It matches the Rfam family "Bacterial small subunit ribosomal RNA", at positions 505 to 796 of the family's 1533-position model. The record is from RNAcentral.